UGGGGAAUUUUGGACAAUGGGGGAAACCCUGAUCCAGCCAUCCCGCGUGUGCGAUGAAGGCCUUCGGGUGUAAAGCACUUUUGGCAGGAAAGAAACGUCGCGGGUUAAUACCCCGCGAAACUGACGGUACCUGCAGAAUAAGCACCGGCUAACUACGUGCCAGCAGCCGCGGUAAUACGUAGGGUGCAAGCGUUAAUCGGAAUUACUGGGCGUAAAGCGUGCGCAGGCGGUUCGGAAAGAAAGAUGUGAAAUCCCAGAGCUUAACUUUGGAACUGCAUUUUUAACUACCGGGCUAGAGUGUGUCAGAGGGAGGUGGAAUUCCGCGUGUAGCAGUGAAAUGCGUAGAUAUGCGGAGGAACACCGAUGGCGAAGGCAGCCUCCUGGGAUAACACUGACGCUCAUGCACGAAAGCGUGGGGAGCAAACAGGAUUAGAUACCCUGGUAGUCCACGCCCUAAACGAUGUCAACUAGCUGUUGGGGCCUUCGGGCCUUGGUAGCGCAGCUAACGCGUGAAGUUGACCGCCUGGGGAGUACGGUCGC
RNAcentral lists this ribosomal RNA (540 nucleotides) under uncultured bacterium. Its description in RNAcentral is "partial 16S ribosomal RNA". It matches the Rfam family "Bacterial small subunit ribosomal RNA", at positions 355 to 889 of the family's 1533-position model. The record is from RNAcentral.